Molecule: small nucleolar RNA, 85 nt
Organism: Lotus japonicus
Lineage: Eukaryota; Viridiplantae; Streptophyta; Magnoliopsida; Fabales; Fabaceae
Product: small nucleolar RNA R44/J54/Z268 family
Exons: 1
Source: RefSeq, a predicted model, not a curated record
UGCGCAAAUGAUGACACAACAGACAGGGACAUCAGUACUCCUAGGAGAAUGUUGACUCGUCUAAUGGGAAUCUCUCUGAUGCGUC